Sinocyclocheilus anshuiensis is the source of this 175-nucleotide long non-coding RNA. RefSeq lists it as uncharacterized. The record is from RefSeq and is a predicted model, not a curated record. The transcript is spliced from 3 exons. NCBI's taxonomy places the organism in Eukaryota, Metazoa, Chordata, Actinopteri, Cypriniformes, Cyprinidae.
GAAAAUCCCCAUGAUGCAGUGGUGCUUCAUCCAAAGAAUGCUGCACUUACCCUAGACAGCUUGCCAGAGAAGAGCGUGAUUGGCACAAGUUCACUUCGCAGAGCAGCUCAGCUGAAGAAACGAUUCCCUCAACUGGAGUUUGAAAAUAUUAGAGGGAACCUAAACACCCGUCUGA